GGCCGGUUAGCUCAGUCGGUUAGAGCGUGGUGCUAAUAACGCCAAGGUCGUGGGUUCAAUCCCCCUACAGGCCA
Transfer RNA from Fulmarus glacialis (Northern fulmar), 74 nucleotides. It matches the Rfam family "tRNA". From Rfam's summary of the family: Transfer RNA (tRNA) molecules are approximately 80 nucleotides in length. Their secondary structure includes four short double-helical elements and three loops (D, anti-codon, and T loops). The record is from Rfam. NCBI's taxonomy places the organism in Eukaryota, Metazoa, Chordata, Aves, Procellariiformes, Procellariidae.